AAAGAAAUAGAAAUGUGCUCAAUUUGCUUUCAUCUUACACAAAUCGUGCUUCCAAUAUUACAAACCACGCUUUAUAAUCCAUAGUUUUUUUCUUUCCAAGUGGUCUCGUGUGGUGUGCUUUAAUUUUUCAGCUGAUAUCAUUCCAUGUGUUAUGAUUGCAUAUUUUUAGCUUACUAGCAAUUUAAUUUCUUUACAAAUAAUAUGUACACUUCCUGUCUACUAUGUCGCACCACCACUAGGUCAUGUCCCAGUACCUCCCUGCUCCAUCUACCAUGUCCGGCUAGCCUCUAAGACCUCCUUUUGUCGUCCAAAUCUAUGGGUGUUGACAUCGUGAUCCACAAGAGUCCGGCGUCGAGUGGCAAGGCUGACCCCAUCAAGGGGGACAACACACUUGACCUUCAACCACCGAGUGUAUCUUGCUACUUUCCUUUUGAAAUGAUGACAUUAAUAUGCUUG
RNAcentral lists this long non-coding RNA (456 nucleotides) under Hordeum vulgare. RNAcentral describes it as "long non-coding RNA (HVUL_LNC018855)". Lineage: Eukaryota; Viridiplantae; Streptophyta; Magnoliopsida; Poales; Poaceae. The record is from RNAcentral.